This 543-nucleotide long non-coding RNA is filed under the name Canis lupus familiaris (dog). RNAcentral's name for it is "lncRNA (ENSCAFG00040022215.1)". Lineage: Eukaryota; Metazoa; Chordata; Mammalia; Carnivora; Canidae. The record is from RNAcentral.
GUUCAGGGGCGGGGGGAGGUCCUGAGGGAGGGACCCGGGCGGGCCGCCCAACGGUCCCCGGCCGGACGGAGCGCGGCGGCGGCGGCGGCGGCGUCACAGGCCGACGUGCGCGCGCGCGCGGCGUGCGUCGGGGCGGGAGGGGUGUGCCCGGAAGUGGGCAGGGCUCCCGCGGGUUGGGGAGGGGCGUGGCCCGAGGGAAGGCGUUCCUGAUUGGUAGGUUCUGCUGCGCGGGAAGUUCGAACGGCAGCCUGGGGCAGGGCGGGAGCAGAGCCAAGGAAGAGGGAGCGAGCUCCGGGCUCCGAAGGAGGGGCCGCAGCUGGAGUGGGUCCAGUCGCUGGGUGUGUUGCGUAUUUUAUAAGCUUCUGUACCAGAAUUGGACACUGAAAGGAGCAGGCUUCAGAUGAGUGCAUCUCCUUCUUCCUUCCUUUUCACCAAGACCACCUUGCCAAAACAGCAUCUGCUACCAAAGGGACCCUCCAAGGAGUUUCUGCCUCAUUAUCAGAGCUUCUGGUGCUACUAGAAGGUAAAAGAGCCUCUGCUUGC